CCCAGACUCCUACGGGAGGCAGCAGUGGGGAAUAUUGGACAAUGGGGGGAACCCUGAUCCAGCGACGCCGCGUGAGUGAAGAAGUAUUUCGGUAUGUAAAGCUCUAUCAGCAGGGAAGAAAGAAAUGACGGUACCUGACUAAGAAGCCCCGGCUAACUACGUGCCGGCAGCCGCGGUAAUACGUAGGGGGCAAGCGUUAUCCGGAUUUACUGGGUGUAAAGGGAGCGUAGACGGCAUGGCAAGUCAGAUGUGAAAGCCCGGGGCUCAACCCCGGGACUGCAUUUGAAACUGUCAGGCUGGAGUGCAGGAGAGGUAAGUGGAAUUCCUAGUGUAGCGGUGAAAUGCGUAGAUAUUAGGAGGAACACCGGUGGCGAAGGCGGCUUACUGGACUGUAACUGACGUUGAGGCUCGAAAGCGUGGGGAGCAAACAGGAUUAGAUACCCUAGUAC
Molecule: ribosomal RNA, 449 nt
Filed under: uncultured bacterium
Lineage: Bacteria
Description: bacterial SSU rRNA
Rfam family: Bacterial small subunit ribosomal RNA
Source: RNAcentral